Molecule: ribosomal RNA, 554 nt
Filed under: Lanthanomelissa betinae
Lineage: Eukaryota; Metazoa; Arthropoda; Insecta; Hymenoptera; Apidae
Description: partial 16S ribosomal RNA
Rfam family: Bacterial large subunit ribosomal RNA (bases 390-549)
Source: RNAcentral
CAAAACAUGGCUUAUUGAAAAUAAUUUUAAGUCAAUCUGCUCAAUGAAAAUUUAAAUAGCUGCAGUAUACCUGACUGUACAAAGGUAGCAUAAUCAAUUGUCUUUUAAUUGAAGGCUAGAAUGAAAGAAUUAAUGAAAUAUAUACUGUCUCAAUUGUAAUUAAUGAAAUUAAAUUUUUAGUUAAAAUGCUAAAAUGUUAUUAUGGGACGAUAAGACCCUAUAGAAUUUUAUAUUGAUAAUUAAUUAAAUAUUAAUAUUUUUUAUUAAUUAAUUAUUAAUAUUUGAUUGGGAGGAUUAUUAAAUUUAUGAAACUUUAAUUUUAAAUUUUCUAUGAUUUUAGAAUAAAUAUUUGAUUUUUAUUAAACAUUAUAAGAUAAAAUUACCUUAGGGAUAACAGCGUAAUAUUCUUUUGAGAGAUCUAAUUGAUAAAGAUGGUUGCGACCUCGAUGUUGAAUUAAGAUAAAUUUUAAAUGCAGGAGUUUAAAAAUUAAGUUUGUUCAACUUUUAAAAUCUUACAUGAUUUGAGUUCAGAUCGACGUAAGUCAGAUUGGUCC